Pelobates cultripes (western spadefoot toad) is the source of this 236-nucleotide non-coding RNA. The record is from the annotation of a GenBank genome assembly. NCBI's taxonomy places the organism in Eukaryota, Metazoa, Chordata, Amphibia, Anura, Pelobatidae.
GCACAUCCCUUUGGACCUUAGAGUCCUUUCGUGGUAUUGCCUGAAAUAAUUAAGUUUUUCUCUCUAUUAAAACAACAAUACAGAUUAAUAUCCCGCUCUGCUGUACUACUACUAAUACAUCUUAUUUUGAAGAUUGUCCUUGUGACCCCUUCUUGUAAGACUAAAUCAACCUUCUAUCGUUCAUACAAAUCGCCCACAGUCUAUAGGGAUAGUCACCUGUCAUUCAGCAAGCUUCC